CGGCCGUGGACAGCGUCGAUCAGAUCCGCUGCCACAGUGACCCAGCCUGGAGGAAGGGCAUUCACUUGUAUGUGGAGCCCCGGGAGUUUACAAUCACGCCCAGCCAAGGGACCAUCCUGCCCCAGGGACACCAGGACAUCCAGGUGACCCUGUGUUCCAACUCGGUGAUGGAGUUCUAUAGGAAAAUGCUGGUGGAUCUGGAGGGUUUUGGCAAGGGAGUGGCAUCACUGGUCAUCACAGCCAGAUGUCUCGUUCCAAAGCUGCAAGUGUCCCCCCACGUGCUGCAAUAUGAUGAGUGCCUCCUGAAGGUGCCAUAUGAGAAGAAGUUCCUGAUUAGGAAUCCCAGCCACCUGCCUGGCUGCUACGGGCUUAUU
Passer domesticus (house sparrow) is the source of this 374-nucleotide long non-coding RNA. RefSeq lists it as uncharacterized. NCBI's taxonomy places the organism in Eukaryota, Metazoa, Chordata, Aves, Passeriformes, Passeridae. The record is from RefSeq and is a predicted model, not a curated record. The transcript has 3 exons.